Molecule: long non-coding RNA, 797 nt
Organism: Mus musculus (house mouse)
Lineage: Eukaryota; Metazoa; Chordata; Mammalia; Rodentia; Muridae
Product: predicted gene, 50288
Exons: 3
Source: RefSeq, a predicted model, not a curated record
UGCAAAUAUGACAGAGCAUGAGGCUGUUCUCGAAAGGGCCAUUCCCUAAGGAGAAGAUGUAUUAGUCACACUGUAAUGCUCCAACACAAAAGAGCUCGGGACUUGUCACAUCUGACACCAACAUCGACCUUCCCCUCUGUGUCACCGUCUGCCUUUGUAGUAGGCGCGUUUUUAUUCCCACUCGAAGGAUGCCGUGACUCCAAUAGUGCCUUCCUGACUUCAUUUAUCGAGGUGACUCUCACCGGCAGUUCAGCAAUUCUACUGCGGAUCUCGCAAGUCUCCGCGUUCUCAAGCCCCGCCCCCCAACACCCGUGUUCGUCCUACGAACCACAUCCAGAUGACUGUGUCAAACUGGGCUCUCCUCAUGAACUUUCUCCUGUGAUCCACGGUAGCCAGUCACGAUUGCUUGUUUGGGAAUUUAAAGUUCUCUCUGAGAAGCCAGGCGCAGUGGUGCACACCUGCAAUCCUAGGAUUCGGGAGGAUGAGGCGAGAGGAUCUUGAGUCCCCAGCUGCAAGGGACACUUCGCUAAAACAAAACAACACAACACAACAACAACAACAACAACAACAACAACAGAUAAAGACAUCUCUUCAUGAGCAGAUAUUUUUUUUCCUAUCUAAUAAUGGAGGGGUUUUUGUUUUUAUUAAAUUUAUCUUAUCUGUUAUUAGUGUGUGUGCACGCUCAAGCCUGUGUGCCAACAGCAUGCGUGGAGAGGUCAGAGGUCACCUUUGUAGACUUGAUUCUCGCCUUCCACCUUUUUUUUGUUUUGUUUUGUUUUUUUUUGUUUUUUUUGGUU